Molecule: long non-coding RNA, 471 nt
Organism: Ochotona princeps (American pika)
Lineage: Eukaryota; Metazoa; Chordata; Mammalia; Lagomorpha; Ochotonidae
Exons: 3
Source: RefSeq, a predicted model, not a curated record
UCAUGGCUCUGCCUACCAAGGAGUUGUGUGCUUCAGGGCAAGUCAUCCAAACUCUCUCACCUUGAUGUCUUUACUGUAAAAUGGAACUAGUACUAAUAUCUUUCAGGAUACUGAAAGCAAAACUCUUCCAGCCCCCAGGGCAGAGAGCCUACAUUCACCUCAGAGCUUCCCCUCAGCUCCUGAAGCCCAACAGCCACUUCCUGGGACAAUACUCUCCUCCAGAAUGUGCGGGCAGUGACCCAAGGAUGUCCACAGACUAAGCUGUCUUCAGGAUGCAUAGCAUUGUUUCUCACACCUGAAUUUUCUGUUGCUGUCAAGCUGAGGUGAUGCACAUACAUGUAUUGAUUUAGAUCAGCUAAAAAGGAUUUCCCAGGAAGAUUUCUUUUUCAAAAGAUGCCACCAACUUCUACUACUCUGAACAGGACUCAAGACACUAUUUGAGGAUAAAAAUGCCAUGAUUACCAAAGUCUA